Long non-coding RNA from Polyodon spathula (Mississippi paddlefish), 3510 nucleotides. RefSeq lists it as uncharacterized. The record is from RefSeq and is a predicted model, not a curated record. Lineage: Eukaryota; Metazoa; Chordata; Actinopteri; Acipenseriformes; Polyodontidae. The transcript is spliced from 3 exons.
UCAUUUAACAGGCGAUUCUAUCCAAAGCAACUUUCAGAGGCUAGGGGGUAGCUAUGAAUCAACAACUGUUGACCUCGGUACGUUUCAUCCGAAGGACGGAUUAAAAAUGUAAAAUGACAUAUUGUUUUUUUAACUCUGGUGUGAGAGUUUACCAGGUCUUUGUAAACUAUGUGGUAAGGUAAAGUUAACCGCUCAGAUUAAAUAAAAACAGCUAUAGAUUAUAUGAAACAAUAGUCUAUUCCUAAUAUAAUAAUGAACUUAACGUUAUGUCAUAUUACAAAGUAGUAUUAUUAAAACGAUAUUAUUUUUUUCACUUAAAAUAUAUAUUCUAAAAAUACUGUCACAACAUUUAAAACAAUGUACUAUGUAGAAAGACGGCGAUCACACAUCAAAUACAGUUUGACAAUUAAAGUUCACAGAAUGCCGACCACAACACAACCUGCCCUCUAAAGUUAUAAUUUCGCGCAUGCGCAAAAGGCAAGCGGCUACUUCGUUUCCGUGACAACGGCCUUGGCGGUUCUAGUGUUAAUUGCAGUUUUUUGUUGUUAACACUAUCAAAUACCUAAAAGGAGAGAAAACAUUUUCAAUAUAAUUUCAUAUAGAUAUGUACCUUGAUAUUUCAUAGCCGUAUAACCAUGCCAUGUCCACAGCGUGAACUCCAGUUUUCCACCUGCACUAAAAUCCAAUUAAAUUAUACUUUACUGGACGUUUCACUAACUGGACGUCCUGUGAAUGUAGUUUAGCUCCGUAAUCGUUUUGUUACUAGUUAUAUAUCGGAUUUAACAUCUUACCUAGGAUUUUUCCUUCUGUACCUUUUUUGAAGAAGUAACCGACUCUGUUACUGGCAGACUUGAGUGAAUGUUUUGCUUUUUAGUUAGAAAAUACCGGAUUUGCAGCUGCUUCUCACUCAUUUCUGAAUCUUAAGUAAACGCACAUAACAUCACGAAGGCAUGCGAAUGGGAGAACUUGACCAGCCGCUUCAGGAAAAUCGAGUCUCUGCUUGGUCUGGCUGGCUGCCUCCUUGUGCUCUAUGCAGUGUGGAGCCCCGACUGGAUCAGGGGCGAGGGUCUGUGGAUCACGGGUAAUGACACCUUCGCAGACUGCUGGAGGAAGCGCUCUGAAGGCUGAGUGUCCCAAGAGACAAGAUGCAGGUGAGUGGGGUUCCUUUGAAAUACCUCCACUUUAUUGUUAUUUUGUGGAAAUAAAUAUUUGGGUUUUCGGUCAAUCCUAGUACCUAGGCAUUUCAGCACUGAAAAAUAACAAACUAUUUCUCAACUCCUUCUCAGCUUAACCAGAGUGCCAAUUUUACUACUGCUAGUACUAUACCGCUGUGUUCUGCCCCCUGUCUCCCUGGUAAUAUACUGUAUCGCUGUGUAGACGCGUUCUCCCUUGCCCCCACUCUCUGACAGUAAUGUUUGCUCCUCCCUUGUCUUGUGCAGUGCUGGAAGUGGAGCGCAUGUUUGCAAUCAUUGCCUUCAUCCUGGCUGGGAGCUGCAGCUGUGUGUGUCUGCUCUUCAUUUUUUGCUGGUCCUCUUACACCAGCAGGUCCUACACUUCCACUUCCCCCCAGGUGAACGGGGGCCAGGUUCUCUUCCCAGGCACGCUCCUGUUGGUCAUCCUCUUCCCUACAGACCACAAUGUGCUAAACAGACUCGUCGUCAGUAAAGAUCACUGCCACAGCAGGGCCUAGGGGCUCAAUGGGACGACUACAUCAAGAUUUUUGGUCUUUUCUUCCUCAUCAGCUGGUCUCUCUUUACUAGACACCACAGAGAUGAGAUCGCCGGUGACAUCGCUCAGCUCGGCUCUUGCUAUUGGCUGGGAGCCCUGGCUUGGGUGUUGCUGCUUGUGGCAGUGCCUGUCACCUUCGUCAUUGAGCAGUUUGUCUGCCCUGACCCCCCGGCAGACACUUCUGCCUUGCUGGAGCCAGGCCGCCCCUCACAGCAGAGAACUGGAGCAGGGUCAGUGCACAGGGUGGUGUGAUCAACCUCAGAAGAAAGGGACACAGCCUUAGAAUCAGAACAUUACAAGAGACCCUUGCUAAUGAACGUGAAUCUCUUACCUACUACUGCCGCAGUGAAGAGAUCACGUGGAGGGAUAUAUCACAGGGCAGAUUCAUCUCAUUUGUACUACUUUAUGUUGUGUACUAUAGUUAUGUGUUGUAAAUCCUUGUAAUACAUAGACAAACAUCAAAGCUUGGCUGCUUAUGACAAGUAGUUAUGACAUUUUAAUUUCUAAGUUCUAAUUUCUAGGUAAAAAAUAUAGCUCCAUUUGGAAAUCUAUGGCAGUUUAACUGCAAUGAAAGGGCAGACACAGCAUCAGCACUAUCACUAUUAAAGCAAUGUAAUGGCACUAUAGCUUAGCAUUGUACUGCUGUUAAAACCUGCUGGUAAACUGUGCAUGUUUGUAUACUUUAGUCAUUUAGCUCCAUGGUAAUCGCUGGCCAUUGAUUUUGCAUAGAAUAUUUUGUUAAGUCGGUUUACACUAAAAUAGCAGUUAUGAACCAGUUGCAUUAUAGAGUGGAUACAUUAGAGCAAGUUCAAGAUAUGGUUUUACUUCAGGUUAUUGUAGUAACGAGGUCUGUCAUGCAUAACUAAUGUUAAUGUUGCAGGAUUAUUUGUAGCUGAUUGUGAAACUCUGCAUCUUUCGCUACUGUCUGGAAUGGUACUUUGGGGACUGAUUCCCUUUAAGCAGGUAAACUAACUGGGGACUACCAAGAAACAGACAAAAUGCAUGUACACAUGUUACUUUAGACUUUUGUAACAUUGACUUUUCAUUUAGAAAAAUCUAAUAUCUGUAAAACAAAGCAUGCUAUGAUUUGCUGUAAAUGCAGAGCAAAACUGAGAACAGUUUUUAAAGUUCUGUAGGUUCUGGCCUCUUCAACCCCAGGUGCUUAUUGGAUCGUUUUCAUUUUGCAAGAAGAUAUAGAUUGUUAUUGUGGAACUUUGUAUGAUGAAUUUCCACACUGAUGAAUAUGUGUACAUUACAGUGCGGGGUCAUAAUUUGAAACCCCCCUGCCAGUGCUUAUAGAUCCAGCUGCUGGCCCUGCACUUCGAGGAGAAAGAGGAACUGAUCUGAUGAGGCCUGGUCAGCAGGGGGGACCGUGACAAAUACAUGCCCGGCCUGCCAUCAAGGGGACUGCCUGUAACAAAGUGGAGGUUGAAAGUAUAACUCGUAUUCUCUGGGGUUUCAAUGUUAUGGAGGAGGAAUCCAGGCAUGGAACAAGCCACUGUAGAACUGCAGGAGCUGGGAGAGGUCCAGUUUUGCAGUGUCCAGCAGGAACAUGUGUCUAUCAUACUCCAGCCCCUAACUUAUCUCAAAAAGCAAAGACCCAGGGCCUCUAACUCACUGUCUCUGUGGAAUACAGUAACUUCUACAGGACCUGCAGCUGGAAAACUGCCACUCUGCUGGCCAGAUCAGUCAGGCCCUGCGCCCCUCCUCCCAUGGGAGGUACAGUACACCCUGCCGAAGCCAUUGCAUCCCGUCCCAAAAGAACUGCACCAACUCGUUCUG